This 777-nucleotide ribosomal RNA is filed under the name Triticum aestivum (bread wheat). Its description in RNAcentral is "partial small subunit ribosomal RNA". Lineage: Eukaryota; Viridiplantae; Streptophyta; Magnoliopsida; Poales; Poaceae. The record is from RNAcentral.
AUGCAGUAUGGAGCAAGAAUUUGGUCUCAUUGCAAGGUCACUACCUGGACAUAUAGCCAAGCAAUGUCAAGAGAGUUCUUCUCACCUAUAGCUAAAGUCAAAGACGACAAACCAGGUGAAUUUUUGGAGGUGCAAGAUACACAGAAUCGGCUAUCCAUCGGCUUUUUAAGUUUUGUUCCUAACUUCCUUGUGCCCAGGCAAGUUUCUGGAUGGCCAGGCAUUCGUUUUGUGCGUCUGCACCAGGCUAACGACCGUGCUUGGUGCUCCUGCCAGGCUAAUCAACAUGAACAUGGCAGAUGCUCCAGGCCAGGCAAGCUUUUUAAUGCUCAUGACACCAUCCAAACAAUCUCCAGGAUAGUAUCAGGCAAGCUCCAAGCUCCAGGCCAGGCAUCAAUACGCUUGAAUCGAGUGCUCCACCACCACAGAUCGGGAUCGAGCCAUCUUCUACCUCCGGCAACCGCGAGCACGUCACCGAUUUGUUCGCCGCAGCAGCUCCUAAGCCACCAACGGGCCCCCGUGUGCCCCCGCGGUGAGCUCCUCCCCCGUUCCCCUUGUCUUCCCCACCAAUCUGAUGUCGUUGGCUAUCGACCCCGACGAGUCCGGAGCUCCACUUGCCCUUUGGUCGCGUUCAUCGCGCCCCCUGCCCGUGCUCCCGUUGCGUCCUGGCCGCCCUGGGCACUCCCUGGUCGUGCCCCCGUGCAUGCCCGCUCGUGCAUUGCCGCAGCCCUCGCCUCGCUCGUUGUUGCCCGUUCGCUUUCGCCUGUGCCCGAUUGCUAG